AUUGAACGCUGGCGGCAUGGCUAAUGCAUGCAAGUCGAACGAAAGCCCUUCGGGGCGAAAGUGGCGAAAGGGCGGGUAAUACGAUCGAACGUACCCCAAGGUGGAGGAUAGUGUCGGGAAACUGACGGUAAUACUCCAUGUGCUCUUCGGAGGAAAGCUUUGGCGCCUCGGGAGCGGCGAUCGUCCUAUCAGGUAGUUGGUGAGGUAAUGGCUCACCAAGCCGAAGACGGGUAGCGGGUGUGAGAGCAUGACCCGCCGCAUCGGGACUGAGACACUGCCCGGACUCCUACGGGAGGCUGCAGCGACGAAUCUUCCGCAAUGGGCGCAAGCCUGACGGAGCAAUGCCGCGUGUGGGACGAAGCGUCUUCGACGUGUAAACCACUGUCAGAAUCUAGGAACACUGACCAGAUUCAAAGGAAGGGCCGGCUAACCUCGUG
Molecule: ribosomal RNA, 437 nt
Filed under: uncultured bacterium
Lineage: Bacteria
Description: bacterial SSU rRNA
Rfam family: Bacterial small subunit ribosomal RNA
Source: RNAcentral